RNAcentral lists this ribosomal RNA (253 nucleotides) under uncultured bacterium. Its description in RNAcentral is "partial 16S ribosomal RNA". It matches the Rfam family "Bacterial small subunit ribosomal RNA", at positions 524 to 776 of the family's 1533-position model. The record is from RNAcentral.
UACGUAGGUGGCAAGCGUUGUCCGGAUUUACUGGGCGUAAAGGGCGCGUAGGCGGCAAUUCAAGUCAGCUGUGAAAUCUCCGGGCUUAACUCGGAACGGUCAGCUGAUACUGCUUUGCUAGAGUGCAGAAGGGGCAAUCGGAAUUCUUGGUGUAGCGGUGAAAUGCGUAGAUAUCAAGAGGAACACCUGAGGUGAAGACGGGUUGCUGGGCUGACACUGACGCUGAGGCGCGAAAGCUAGGGUAGCAAACGGG